Molecule: long non-coding RNA, 1926 nt
Filed under: Homo sapiens (human)
Lineage: Eukaryota; Metazoa; Chordata; Mammalia; Primates; Hominidae
Description: HSALNT0312646
Source: RNAcentral
GUGGUGGGAGCAGUGGCGCCGAGCGUGCCCACGGGCCGCCGCUUGGGUUUCUCUCGUGUUCAGGGUAGUAUGGACGUGGACAAUGGCAGUGGCCCCUGGCUGGCCCAAGAGCCGGGUCCAGAUACGCGCGCCUGAUUCCAGGCGUCAUAACCAACCCGGGGCCGCGAGGCUGGGAUCAGGCACCCCGGAGCCGCUUGCCCGUGGCCGGGCUGCUCUCCCCCUCUAAGCCUAAGCACCGCCAGUCGCGGCGCUGCGCUUUCCGCCGACCUCCCAGAGCGUCCCGCCGUCGCCGGCGGCCAGCCUCGCGCAGGACCAGUGUGGCGCCGCCCUGCUGUUGCUGGGGGGCGCCCGAGGCCUCCAUUCCUUGCCCAGGCUUCCGGCUCUCGGGGCGGCCUCCCUUCCGCCCACGCUCCAGGGCUUCCCCGGCUCCCGAGCUCCGAGCUUCCACCACAUCGGCCGGCUCAGGACAGGUGGUUGUCUACGAGGAUCAUUUAAGGCCAGAAGUUCGAGACCAGCCUGGGCAAUAGAACAAGACCUCAUCUCCACAAACAAUAAAAAAUUAGCCAGGUGUGGUGGCACACACCUGUAGUCCUAGCUACUUGGGAGGCUAGGGUGUGAGGAACACUUGAGCCCAGGAGUUCAUCAUUACAGUGAACUAUAAUCAUGCCACUGCACUUCAGUCUGAGAAAUAGAGUGAGAAUCAUCUGUUUAAUAAAAAAUAAAACAAGAAUAAAGCUAUAGCUUAAAAAGAAACACCAUUUUCAUCAUCGUUAUAAUGACUGAUUCUUAAAAAUCACUUAAGAUACAUUCAAAGGAUAAAUAAAUGCAUGAAUGUCUAAAAAAAUUUUUAAGAUACUACAUCAGAAUAGAGGAAAAGGGGGAAACAGAGAAAAUAAAUAGCAGAGAAAAAGGCCUAAGGAGAGGAUGGCAGGGAUUGGAUUUGGGGUAAAUAGAAGAAGAUACUCAGAAAAAUAAGAGACUGGGAUAUAUGCAUGAGAGUUACCCCUGGGGACUAUAUAAUGCACAUUUAAUGCAGACCAACAGCCUUCAGGUCGAAGACCUAGGGAAAAAAGUGGUGAAAACAAGAUAACACUACAAAAAUUUGCUGGGCAUUACUCCUCCAGGCCUCCCUGCCUGGUAUUCACUGACUGACCUGAAAGUCUCAGGUUUGGGGUUUCUUCUACUAUCCAUGGCUCUGCUCCUUGCUCUAGCUUGAAGAUCAUCUCAGGUUUGGUAAUGUAAUGCCCUGGUAAUGAGAAACAAUGGAAGACUUUGUCAAACCACUAAGUCAAAUCCUUUUCAGAAUGACGACAGCUGGGCUUCAGGGACUGUGCAAUGAAGGAGCCAAUUUGAACAUUUCAUUAGAGUAGUGACACAUUUUUCAUCAACUGGAAGCUUACAAGUAAAUAUUAUUAUACCUUAAAAGGGUUCCUAUAUUUACCAGCAACAAAAUACAAUCCUGGGAGUUACUGGCAAGUUUCACUCACCCAAUGAUACCAGGCUGCUGUAGGUCUCCAGCAUCACGUCCCUGUACAGGGUCCUCUGAGCAUCAUCCAGGUCCUGCCACUCCUCCCAGGUGAAGUGCACAGCUACCUCCUCAAAGGACACCAACUCCUGUAAUGAUACCAGGCUGUUGUAGGUCUCCAGCAUCACGUUCCUGUACAGGGUCCUCUAAGCAUCAUCCACGUCCUGCCACUCCUCCCAGGUGAAGUGCACAGCCACAUCUUCAAAGGACACCAACCCCUGUAAUGGCACAUUUUUCCUCAAGUCAAAGCAUCAGCCCAAAGAUUCUUGUCAAAAGAACAAGAAUCUGGGAAUUCACUCUUUGGUGUGUCCAUGUGUCUUAUGUAUUUUACAUAAGAUGUAGUUUGUUUUGCACUGUUUAUGGUGGGAGAAGGAGUAAUCACAGUAGAAAUAUGCUUCCAC